CCUACGGGCUCUGCAGUGGGGAAUAUUGGACAAUGGGCGAAAGCCUGAUCCAGCCAUGCCGCGUGUGUGAAGAAGGCCUUCGGGUUGUAAAGCACUUUCAGUGGGGAAGAAAGCCUUGGGGCUAAUACCCUCGAGGAAGGACAUCACCCACAGAAGAAGCACCGGCUAACUCCGUGCCAGCAGCCGCGGUAAUACGGAGGGUGCGAGCGUUAAUCGGAAUUACUGGGCGUAAAGCGCGCGUAGGCGGUCUGAUAAGCCGGUUGUGAAAGCCCCGGGCUCAACCUGGGAACGGCAUCCGGAACUGUCAGGCUAGAGUGCAGGAGAGGAAGGUAGAAUUCCCGGUGUAGCGGUGAAAUGCGUAGAGAUCGGGAGGAAUACCAGUGGCGAAGGCGGCCUUCUGGACUGACACUGACGCUGAGGUGCGAAAGCGUGGGUAGCAAACAGGAUUAGAUACCCGGGUAGUC
RNAcentral lists this ribosomal RNA (464 nucleotides) under Vreelandella stevensii. RNAcentral describes it as "partial 16S ribosomal RNA". It matches the Rfam family "Bacterial small subunit ribosomal RNA", at positions 338 to 795 of the family's 1533-position model. The record is from RNAcentral. Lineage: Bacteria; Pseudomonadati; Pseudomonadota; Gammaproteobacteria; Oceanospirillales; Halomonadaceae.